RNAcentral lists this non-coding RNA (47 nucleotides) under Schistosoma bovis. Lineage: Eukaryota; Metazoa; Platyhelminthes; Trematoda; Strigeidida; Schistosomatidae. RNAcentral also lists the same sequence under 1 other name. The record is from RNAcentral.
GCACUGCUGAGGAGUUCCAGUACUAGGACGAAACGGCCGUUCAGUGC